Molecule: ribosomal RNA, 288 nt
Filed under: uncultured bacterium
Lineage: Bacteria
Description: partial 16S ribosomal RNA
Rfam family: Bacterial small subunit ribosomal RNA
Source: RNAcentral
AAUUCGCUCUUAGAGUUUGAUCCUGGCUCAGGAUGAACGCUGGCGGCGUGCUUAAUACAUGCAAGUCGAACGAAGUUUGUAUCAAUACAUUCUUAGUGGCGAACGGGUGAGUAACGCGUUGGUGACCUGCCCCGAAGAGGGGGAUAACAGUCCGAAAGGACUGCUAAUACCCCAUGUGAUCCCCGGUUUUAGAAUCUGGUGAUUAAAGGCGAAAGUCGCUUCGGGAGGGGCCUGCGUCCCAUCAGCUAGUUGGUAGGGUAAUGGCCUACCAAGGCUAUGACGGGUAGG